RNAcentral lists this ribosomal RNA (484 nucleotides) under uncultured bacterium. RNAcentral's name for it is "bacterial SSU rRNA". It matches the Rfam family "Bacterial small subunit ribosomal RNA", at positions 28 to 502 of the family's 1533-position model. The record is from RNAcentral.
GAUGAACGCUAGCUACAGGCUUAACACAUGCAAGUCGAGGGGCAGCAUGGUCUUAGCUUGCUAAGACUGAUGGCGACCGGCGCACGGGUGAGUAACACGUAUCCAACCUGCCGUCUACUCUUGGACAGCCUUCUGAAAGGAAGAUUAAUACAAGAUGGCAUCAUGAGUCCGCAUGUUCACAUGAUUAAAGGUAUUCCGGUAGACGAUGGGGAUGCGUUCCAUUAGAUAGUAGGCGGGUAACGGCCCACCUAGUCUUCGAUGGAUAGGGGUUCUGAGAGGAAGGUCCCCCACAUUGGAACUGAGACACGGUCCAAACUCCUACGGGAGGCAGCAGUGAGGAAUAUUGGUCAAUGGGCGAGAGCCUGAACCAGCCAAGUAGCGUGAAGGAUGACUGCCCUAUGGGUUGUAAACUUCUUUUAUAAAGGAAUAAAGUCGGGUAUGCAUACCCGUUUGCAUGUACUUUAUGAAUAAGGAUCGGCUAACU